This 1147-nucleotide long non-coding RNA is filed under the name Medicago truncatula (barrel medic). RNAcentral's name for it is "long non-coding RNA (MTRU_LNC006585)". The record is from RNAcentral. Lineage: Eukaryota; Viridiplantae; Streptophyta; Magnoliopsida; Fabales; Fabaceae.
GCAAGAUGGAAUAGUCUUAAGCUUUGAGCAACUUCGCAAGCUCAAUUCUUCAAGCCCGAUGAAAUAGUGAAAGGAUGAAGGUAGUUCUUUUAUUGCUAUUUUGUCUAAUAUGAGUACUUCUAGAUUUUCCAUAGUCACCUCGAGUUCAGGAAAAGUUUCAAGUGAUUCACAUUCACUAAGGUCUAACUUGAUGAGUUUGCUAAGAUUUCCAAUGGAAGAUGGAAUAGUCUCAAGCUUUGUGCAAUUUCGCAAGCUCAAUUCUUCAAGCCCGGCCAAAUGGUGGAAGGAUGAAGGUAUUUUUUUUAUUGUUGUUUUAUCUAAGAUGAGCACUUCUAGAUUUUCCAUAGUCACCUCGAGUUCAGGAAAAGUUUCAAGUGAUUCACAGUUAGUAAGGUCUAACUUGAUGAGUUUGCUUAGGUUUCCAAUGGAAGAUGGAAUGGUCUUAAGCUUUGUGCAAUUUCGCAAACUCAAUUCUUCAAGCCCAACCAAAUGGUGAAAGGAUGAAGUUAGUUCUUUUAUUGUUGUUUCGUCUAAGAUGAGGACUUCUAGAUUUUCCAUAGUCACCUCGAGUUCAGGAAAAGUUUCAAGUGAUUCACAGUCACUAAGGUCUAACUUGACGAGGUUGCUAAGAUUUCCAAUGGAAGAUGGAAUAAUCUUAAGCUUUGUGCAACUUCGCAAGUUCAAUUCUUCAAGCCCGGCCAAAUGGUGGAAGGAUGAAGGAAGUUCUUUUAUUGCUGUUUUGUCUAAGAUGAGCACUUCAAGAUUUUCCAUAGUCACCUUGAGUUCAGGAAAAGUUUCAAGUGAUUCACAGUCAGUAAGGUCUAACUUGAUGAGUUUGCUGAGAUUUCCAAUUGAAGACGGAAUAUUCUUAAGCUUUGUGCAACUUCGCAAGCUCAAUUCUUCAAGGCCGACCAAAUGGUGCAAGGAUGAAGGUAGUUCUUUUAUGGUUGUUUCUUCUAAGAUGAGCACUUCUAGAUUUUCCAUAAUUACCUCAAGUUCAGGAAAAGUUUCAAGUGAUUCACAGCAAGUAAGGUCUAACUUGAUGAGUUUGCUGAGAUUUCCAAUGGAAGAUGGAAUAGUCUUAAGCUUUGUGCAACUUCGUAAGCUUAAUUCUUCGAGUCCGACCAAAUGGUGCAAGGAUGAAGGC